This 329-nucleotide ribosomal RNA is filed under the name uncultured eukaryote. Its description in RNAcentral is "partial 18S ribosomal RNA". It matches the Rfam family "Eukaryotic small subunit ribosomal RNA", at positions 1470 to 1796 of the family's 1831-position model. The record is from RNAcentral.
CCCUUAGAUGUUCUGGGCUGCACGCGCGCUACACUGAUGCGUUCAACGAGUUUAUAACCUUGCCCGAUAGGGUUGGGUAAUCUUUUGAAAACGCAUCGUGAUGGGGAUAGAUUAUUGUAAUUAUUAAUCUUCAACGAGGAAUUCCUAGUAAGCGCGAAUCAUCAGUUCGUGCUGAUUACGUCCCUGCCCUUUGUACACACCGCCCGUCGCACCUACCGAUUGAAUGGUCCGGUGAGAAUUCUGGACUGUGGCGUAGCAGCUUUCACGAGAGGCUACGCCGUGGGAAGUUAUUCAAACCUUACCAUUUAGAGGAAGGUGAAGUCGUAACA